GACGAACGCUGGCGGCGUGCUUAACACAUGCAAGUCGAACGGUGAACUCCGCUUGCGGGGGGAUCAGUGGCGAACGGGUGAGUAACACGUGGGCAACCUGCCCUCAGCUCUGGGAUAACUCCAAGAAAUUGGGGCUAAUACCGGAUAUGACCGCUGACCGCAUGGUCUGGUGGUGGAAAGAUUUAUCGGCUGGGGAUGGGCCCGCGGCCUAUCAGCUUGUUGGUGGGGUAGUGGCCUACCAAGGCGACGACGGGUAGCCGGCCUGAGAGGGUGACCGGCCACACUGGGACUGAGACACGGCCCAGACUCCUACGGGAGGCAGCAGUGGGGAAUAUUGCGCCAUGGGCGAAAGCCUGACGCAGCGACGCCGCGUGGGGGAUGACGGCCUUCGGGUUGUAAACCUCUUUCAGCAGGGACGAAGCGAAAGUGACGGUACCUGCAGAAGAAGCACCGGCCAACUACGUG
Molecule: ribosomal RNA, 465 nt
Filed under: uncultured bacterium
Lineage: Bacteria
Description: partial 16S ribosomal RNA
Rfam family: Bacterial small subunit ribosomal RNA
Source: RNAcentral